This 446-nucleotide ribosomal RNA is filed under the name uncultured bacterium. RNAcentral's name for it is "SSU rRNA". It matches the Rfam family "Bacterial small subunit ribosomal RNA", at positions 26 to 518 of the family's 1533-position model. The record is from RNAcentral.
AGAGCGAACGCUGGCGGCAGGCCUAACACAUGCAAGUCGAACGCACCUUCGGGUGAGUGGCGGACGGGUGAGUAACACGUGGGAACGUACCUUUUGGUUCGGAAUAACGCAGGGAAACUUGCGCUAAUACCGAAUGUGCUCCGUAAGGAGGAAAGAUUUAUCGCCAUUAGAGCGGCCCGCGUUAGAUUAGCUAGUUGGUGAGGUAAAGGCUCACCAAGGCUACGAUCUAUAGCUGGUCUGAGAGGAUGAUCAGCCACAUUGGGACUGAGACACGGCCCAAACUCCUACGGGAGGCAGCAGUGGGGAAUCUUGCGCAAUGGGCGAAAGCCUGACGCAGCCAUGCCGCGUGAAUGAUGAAGGUCUUAGGAUUGUAAAAUUCUUUCAGUAGGGACGAUAAUGACGGUACCUACAGAAGAAGCCCGGACUAACUUCGCGCCAGCAGCCGC